GUUAGGUAUAAUCUUGAGUUUGUAGUCACUAGUGCAUGUACAGGUUGUGCUAGGACGUGUAGUCCAUGGUCUUGGUCUAAGUACGUGUCUAGUUUAGAUAGUUCUAGGAGUCCUGAGUCAUGUACGGGUACUAGUCCUUGCAGGAACAGGUUAGUAGGUGUCCGAGGUUAGUUUGGCUAGUUAGAGUCCGAGUAGGACUUGUGUCAUGUUGGUUAAGGCUGCGUGCAUAUAUAUACN
This 237-nucleotide long non-coding RNA is filed under the name Hordeum vulgare. Its description in RNAcentral is "long non-coding RNA (HVUL_LNC021728)". Lineage: Eukaryota; Viridiplantae; Streptophyta; Magnoliopsida; Poales; Poaceae. The record is from RNAcentral.